RNAcentral lists this long non-coding RNA (366 nucleotides) under Monodelphis domestica (gray short-tailed opossum). RNAcentral's name for it is "lncRNA (ENSMODG00000044296.1)". Lineage: Eukaryota; Metazoa; Chordata; Mammalia; Didelphimorphia; Didelphidae. The record is from RNAcentral.
UCAUUUGCAUUGUCGGAAGGUAGUAUUGACGGAUUGUCUGAAGGAUCGAAUUAUCAAAGGAUCGAAGGAAGGAAGGAACGAAGGAACGAAGGAAGCAAGGAAGCAAGGAAGCAAGGAACGAAGGAAGGAAGCAAGGAAGCAAGGAAGCAAGGAAUUUGCCAGAUUAGGACACCAAUUAAAGGCCAGAGAGACAAGGGAAAUCACACAGUUGAAGCAGAAACUGAGGCACAAAGUAGUUACAGAAAUUGCCUGAGAUCAUAGUGCUAGUAAUUUUGGAGCUGUGUCUGAAUCCAAAUCUUUUGACUCCAAGAUGGAAAGUAAGUAAAUUCAUUAAGGGUAGAGAUAGUUUUGUUUUGUUUUAUAAAU